Molecule: ribosomal RNA, 496 nt
Filed under: uncultured bacterium
Lineage: Bacteria
Description: partial 16S ribosomal RNA
Rfam family: Bacterial small subunit ribosomal RNA
Source: RNAcentral
GACGAACGCUGGCGGCGUGCCUAAUACAUGCAAGUUGAGCGAUGAAGAUUGGUGCUUGCACCAAUUUGAAGAGCAGCGAACGGGUGAGUAACGCGUGGGGAAUCUGCCUUUGAGCGGGGGACAACAUUUGGAAACGAAUGCUAAUACCGCAUAACAACUUUAAACAUAAGUUUUAAGUUUGAAAGAUGCAAUUGCAUCACUCAAAGAUGAUCCCGCGUUGUAUUAGCUAGUUGGUGAGGUAAAGGCUCACCAAGGCGAUGAUACAUAGCCGACCUGAGAGGGUGAUCGGCCACAUUGGGACUGAGACACGGCCCAAACUCCUACGGGAGGCAGCAGUAGGGAAACUUCGGCAAUGGACGAAAGUCUGACCGAGCAACGCUGCGUGAGUGAAGAAGGUUUUCGGAUCGUAAAACUCUGUUGGUAGAGAAGAACGUUGGUGAGAGUGGAAAGCUCAUCAAGUGACGGUAACUACCUAGAAAGGGACGGCUAACUACGU